Molecule: non-coding RNA, 2027 nt
Organism: Cicer arietinum (chickpea)
Lineage: Eukaryota; Viridiplantae; Streptophyta; Magnoliopsida; Fabales; Fabaceae
Source: RefSeq, a predicted model, not a curated record
UUUAAAAAGGGGAAAUUACAAUUCAAAUCUCCUUCCUUGUAAUUGAUAUUGUCAUUUCACUUAGUUCCCAUUACAUUGUUUCACAAAAGCUCAAACUGUUGGAGCAGCUCCUUUUCUUGGGCUACCAUCCACACUCGUAUAUCUCAAGAUGUUUGAGCUCAUAUUCCCUAACUACGAACUUCUGUCGUUGUUCUUCAUUAUGAAGUUGUUGUUUAGCAUCUUGUUCUUGCAGUUCUCUUACUACGUUCAUGAGUUGUGUAAGCAUAAGACUCUUCCCCUCAUCAACGUUAUAGUGGUCGAAACCAUUUUCAAAUGUAAGUACAACCAUUGUAGUGAGUAAGUUUUUCAAUAAAGAUGGAGCGAAGGAAAGUUUUACCAUUGUCCAACGGGGAGCGCCAAUGUUCACAUAUGUAAACACAAAAUACAACAGAUGAAUUAUCCUAUUGAGUCAACAAAGGAGGACUCCAAGAAUACUCUAAAAUAGUUAAGGUAAAAUACAUUGUUCACACUAAAAAAAAUGAUUUAUCUCAUCUCUUCCUAAGUGUUUUCCUCAUAUAGUCUUCACUCUUUGAUCAAAUGGGCCUUUCUUUGAACGUCGUGGCCCAUUUAGUUUAACAAUUCUGAGGUCAAUACUACUUUUCGUCCUUGGGGUAGGCUACCUCCUCCUUACCUAGCUCAUUCGUAUCGAGCGCGUUGGGCUAUAGCACACGCAGCUCACGUCACUUGUCAAAGCAAUAACUUACCACAAUUAACAAAGUUCAGCUCAACGUGAUCUGAAUGGUUGAGUUGGGAUAGGUUGGACCUGCAUAGUUGAGCUUAGUUUGGUUGGACCUGAACGGUUGAGCUAAGCUUGGUUGGACUUGAACUUUUGAGUUGUGCUUGGUUAUCAUGGAAUGGCAAAGGCCACGUGGUAUGAUCAUCCAUACCAUUCCAAUAUCAUAUUUGACUAGUAAAUAGAAACCCCAUGGCAAAAAUCUUUUUAAUUUGAGAAUUAUGCUCAACUAAAAUUGGUCUUGAAGUAGUACUUUGGCAUGUAUCUAUAUGUGACCAUUUUAUGUUGUGCUUCUAAUUUCACCCGAACAGUUCGUAUUUCAUUUUCUUAUGGUUUUUGAGGGUUGUGUCCGCAUAUACAGCAUUUGAAUUAAUUUUACAGAUUUAGUAUUGCCUAGCUAUUAACUCAUGUUUAAAAUAAUGUUAUUCCAAUUGAUCCUUGUGUCCAUUUAAUUUUUCUACAAAAUUAUGCAGAACUUGGUUACAUAUUCCAAUUCAAAAGUCUGACACUUAAUUCAAUUCAUACACAGUCAAGCCUUGUAAACCAGAUCCUAUGUCCUCCAGUUAGAAGCACAUCAAAUUUUUAAUCCAAAUUCUGCAUAGUUACGCAGAGAAAUGGGCUUAACCCAACAGGAGUUCUAAACGGGAUCCUUGAAACUGAGUUGAUAGAAAUUAUCUAGCAAUACUUAUAUAUUUUUUAGUGAUUCACCUGAAAUGCAACUCCAUAUGGUCUGCUGUCAAAAUUCACAAACAGCACCAACAUGAAGCCCUCAAAUGCAUCUACUCAAAUCUUAAAUGACUUAAGGAUGCAUCAUUAGUACGUGAUCGUCACUACUGCAGCAAUUGUUAACAGCAUAAAGAGGACCAUUGUUUUUCAUCAAUUGAAAAUUUUCAAAUAACAAUAAAUUAUUCUUACACUUGUAGAGGCGAAGCAGCAAGGAUGAAACUGGGGGAUUUUCCUCACUGCCCACAACAUUAAUUGUGACGCAGCGACUGGUCAAUGCAGAGGCAAUCAGAGUAGCAACGGGUUGGCGCAAAGUCAGGCCGGAAAUCCUUCUGUUGUUUCUCCAUUCUGGUAAACACAAUCUGUUGUACUCUUCAGUUUAACUACUUUGUAGCUAACAAAGACACACACAUGCAUAUUGGAUAAAUAAUUAUUUCUAAUUUCAUGCUAGCUACAGAAUCCUAUUUCUGUUAUGUCAACAAAAGUUCAAUUAUGAAGAAGACAAUCUUUAUAGCACUUGAACCAAAAUAAA